CCUACGGGAGGCAGCAGUGGGGAAUAUUGGACAAUGGGCGAAAGCCUGAUCCAGCAAUGCCGCGUGAGUGAUGAAGGCCUUAGGGUUGUAAAGCUCUUUUACCAGGGAUGAUAAUGACAGUACCUGGAGAAUAAGCUCCGGCUAACUCCGUGCCAGCAGCCGCGGUAAUACGGAGGGAGCUAGCGUUAUUCGGAAUUACUGGGCGUAAAGCGUACGUAGGCGGUUAUUCAAGUCAGAGGUGAAAGCCCGGGGCUCAACCCCGGAACUGCCUUUGAAACUAGAUAACUAGAGUCUUGGAGAGGUUAGUGGAAUUCCGAGUGUAGAGGUGAAAUUCGUAGAUAUUCGGAAGAACACCAGUGGCGAAGGCGACUAACUGGACAAGUACUGACGCUGAGGUACGAAAGCGUGGGGAGCAAACAGGAUUAGAUACCCUGGUAGUCCACGCCGUAAACGAUGAUAACUAGCUGUCCGGGCACUUGGUGCCUGGGUGGCGCAGCUAACGCAUUAAGUUAUCCGCCUGGGGAUACGGUCGCAAGNUUAAAACUUAAAGAGUAGUCGNGNGNGNGUGCGACGACGACGACGACGGAGGAGGAG
This 594-nucleotide ribosomal RNA is filed under the name uncultured bacterium. Its description in RNAcentral is "bacterial SSU rRNA". It matches the Rfam family "Bacterial small subunit ribosomal RNA", at positions 338 to 1331 of the family's 1533-position model. The record is from RNAcentral.